RNAcentral lists this transfer RNA (74 nucleotides) under Sporosarcina sp. P13. RNAcentral describes it as "tRNA-Arg". It matches the Rfam family "tRNA". From Rfam's summary of the family: Transfer RNA (tRNA) molecules are approximately 80 nucleotides in length. The record is from RNAcentral. Lineage: Bacteria; Bacillati; Bacillota; Bacilli; Caryophanales; Caryophanaceae.
GUCCUAGUAGCUCAGCUGGAUAGAGCAACGCCCUCCUAAGGCGUAGGUCGGGGGUUCAAAUCCCUUCUGGGACG